GAACCGACUAAUGUUGAAAAAUUAGCGGAUGACUUGUGGCUGGGGGUGAAAGGCCAAUCAAACCGGGAGAUAGCUGGUUCUCCCCGAAAGCUAUUUAGGUAGCGCCUCGUGAAUUCAUCUCCGGGGGUAGAGCACUGUUUCGGCAAGGGGGUCAUCCCGACUUACCAACCCGAUGCAAACUGCGAAUACCGGAGAAUGUUAUCACGGGAGACACACGGCGGGUGCUAACGUCCGUCGUGAAGAGGGAAACAACCCAGACCGCCAGCUAAGGUCCCAAAGUCAUGGUUAAGUGGGAAACGAUGUGGGAAGGCCCAGACAGCCAGGAUGUUGGCUUAGAAGCAGCCAUCAUUUAAAGAAAGCGUAAUAGCUCACUGGUCGAGUCGGCCUGCGCGGAAGAUGUAACGGGGCUAAACCAUGCACCGAAGCUGCGGCAGCGACACUGUGUGUUGUUGGGUAGGGGAGCGUUCUGUAAGCCUGUGAAGGUGUACUGUGAGGUAUGCUGGAGGUAUCAGAAGUGCGAAUGCUGACAUAAGUAACGAUAAAGCGGGUGAAAAGCCCGCUCGCCGGAAGACCAAGGGUUCCUGUCCAACGUUAAUCGGGGCAGGGUGAGUCGACCCCUAAGGCGAGGCCGAAAGGCGUAGUCGAUGGGAAACAGGUUAAUAUUCCUGUACUUGGUGUUACUGCGAAGGGGGGACGGAGAAGGCUAUGUUGGCCGGGCGACGGUUGUCCCGGUUUAAGCGUGUAGGCUGGUUUUCCAGGCAAAUCCGGAAAAUCAAGGCUGAGGCGUGAUGACGAGGCACUACGGUGCUGAAGCAACAAAUGCCCUGCUUCCAGGAAAAGCCUCUAAGCAUCAGGUAACAUCAAAUCGUACCCCAAACCGACACAGGUGGUCAGGUAGAGAAUACCAAGGCGCUUGAGAGAACUCGGGUGAAGGAACUAGGCAAAAUGGUGCCGUAACUUCGGGAGAAGGCACGCUGAUAUGUAGGUGAAGUCCCUCGCGGAUGGAGCUGAAAUCAGUCGAAGAUACCAGCUGGCUGCAACUGUUUAUUAAAAACACAGCACUGUGCAAACACGAAAGUGGACGUAUACGGUGUGACGCCUGCCCGGUGCCGGAAGGUUAAUUGAUGGGGUCAGCGCAAGCGAAGCUCUUGAUCGAAGCCCCGGUAAACGGCGGCCGUAACUAUAACGGUCCUAAGGUAGCGAAAUUCCUUGUCGGGUAAGUUCCGACCUGCACGAAUGGCGUAAUGAUGGCCAGGCUGUCUCCACCCGAGACUCAGUGAAAUUGAACUCGCUGUGAAGAUGCAGUGUACCCGCGGCAAGACGGAAAGACCCCGUGAACCUUUACUAUAGCUUGACACUGAACAUUGAGCCUUGAUGUGUAGGAUAGGUGGGAGGCUUUGAAGUGUGGACGCCAGUCUGCAUGGAGCCGACCUUGAAAUACCACCCUUUAAUGUUUGAUGUUCUAACGUGGACCCGUGAUCCGGGUUGCGGACAGUGUCUGGUGGGUAGUUUGACUGGGGCGGUCUCCUCCUAAAGAGUAACGGAGGAGCACGAAGGUUGGCUAAUCCUGGUCGGACAUCAGGAGGUUAGUGCAAUGGCAUAAGCCAGCUUGACUGCGAGCGUGACGGCGCGAGCAGGUGCGAAAGCAGGUCAUAGUGAUCCGGUGGUUCUGAAUGGAAGGGCCAUCGCUCAACGGAUAAAAGGUACUCCGGGGAUAACAGGCUGAUACCGCCCAAGAGUUCAUAUCGACGGCGGUGUUUGGCACCUCGAUGUCGGCUCAUCACAUCCUGGGGCUGAAGUAGGUCCCAAGGGUAUGGCUGUUCGCCAUUUAAAGUGGUACGCGAGCUGGGUUUAGAACGUCGUGAGACAGUUCGGUCCCUAUCUGCCGUGGGCGCUGGAGAACUGAGGGGGGCUGCUCCUAGUACGAGAGGACCGGAGUGGACGCAUCACUGGUGUUCGGGUUGUCAUGCCAAUGGCACUGCCCGGUAGCUAAAUGCGGAAGAGAUAAGUGCUGAAAGCAUCUAAGCACGAAACUUGCCCCGAGAUGAGUUCUCCCUGACCCUUUAAGGGUCCUGAAGGAACGUUGAAGACGACGACGUUGAUAGGCCGGGUGUGUAAGCGCAGCGAUGCGUUGAGCUAACCGGUACUAAUGAACCGUGAGGCUUAACCUUACAACGCCGAAGGUGUUU
This 2189-nucleotide ribosomal RNA is filed under the name Escherichia coli. RNAcentral describes it as "partial 23S ribosomal RNA". It matches the Rfam family "Bacterial large subunit ribosomal RNA", at positions 776 to 2925 of the family's 2925-position model. The record is from RNAcentral. Lineage: Bacteria; Pseudomonadati; Pseudomonadota; Gammaproteobacteria; Enterobacterales; Enterobacteriaceae.